CCUACGGGUGGCUGCAGUCGAGAAUCUUUAGCAAUGGACGAAAGUCUGACUAUGCGACGCCGCGUGAGGGAUGAAGGUCUUCGGAUUGUAAACCUCUUUCGAUCGGAAAGAAUAUCUUAUGCCAUAAUACGGCAUAGGACUGACGGUACCGAGAGAAGAAGCCACGGCCAACUCCGUGCCAGCAGCCGCGGUAAUACGGAGGUGGCGAGCGUUACUCGGAUUUAUUGGGUGUAAAGGGCAGGUAGGUGGCUCAACAAGUGGGGAGUGAAAUCCUCCGACUUAAUCGGAGAAUUGCUUUCCAAACUAUUGAGCUUGAGUGUGAGAGAGGAUAACGGAACUCCUGGUGUAAGGGUGAAAUCUGUAGAGAUCAGGAGGAACACCAUUAGCGAAGGCGGUUAUCUGGAUCACAACUGACACUGAACUGCGAAAGCUAGGGGAGAGAACAGGAUUAGAUACCCCAGUAGUC
RNAcentral lists this ribosomal RNA (466 nucleotides) under uncultured bacterium. RNAcentral describes it as "bacterial SSU rRNA". It matches the Rfam family "Bacterial small subunit ribosomal RNA", at positions 338 to 795 of the family's 1533-position model. The record is from RNAcentral.